This 287-nucleotide long non-coding RNA is filed under the name Solanum tuberosum (potato). RNAcentral's name for it is "long non-coding RNA (STUB_LNC009632)". The record is from RNAcentral. Lineage: Eukaryota; Viridiplantae; Streptophyta; Magnoliopsida; Solanales; Solanaceae.
CUUGUUGCAGAUUUUCGCCAUGGGUUUAAUCCCUAAGAGGUAUGUAAGCUUCCAUAGUGUUGGGUUCUUUCACCCACGCGCCGAUCAUGAUUUAUUCAGCGUAAUUUCGUUCUGAAAUUUAAAGAUUUGAGUUUUUAUGAGUUCUUGAUAAGUGUUCUUGAAGUUUAAUUAAGUUUUGAAGUAAGAUUCUGCUUAGGUCAACUUUAAACGACCAUAUCUCUUAGAAUAUUAAGAGUUACGUGAGCCAUAACCUAUCCAAUUAAAGGUAAUUGAAUCUACUUUCCAAC